This is a non-coding RNA of Paramuricea clavata, 126 nucleotides long. NCBI's taxonomy places the organism in Eukaryota, Metazoa, Cnidaria, Anthozoa, Malacalcyonacea, Plexauridae. The record is from the annotation of a GenBank genome assembly.
UACCUCAAAAUUCCGCAACAGUCUGUUUCAUCAGUAAAGAAUCAUCAGGCGGUAUCGCCUGAUGAUUCUUUACUGAUGAUACCGCCUGAUGAUUCUUUACUGAUGAAACAGACUGUUGCGGAAUUU